AUACGGAGGGUGCGAGCGUUACUCGGAAUCACUGGGCGUAAAGCGCGCGCAGGCGGCUAUUUAAGUUGGAUGUGAAAGCCUAUGGCUCAACCAUAGAACUGCAUCCAAAACUAUUUAGCUAGAGUGUGGGAGAGGAAGAUGGAAUUAGUUGUGUAGGGGUAAAAUCCGUAGAGAUAACUAGGAAUACCAAAAGCGAAGGCAAUCUUCUGGAACACUACUGACGCUGAGGCGCGAAAGCGUGGGGAGCAAACGGGAUUAGAAACCCUUGUAGUCC
Molecule: ribosomal RNA, 274 nt
Filed under: uncultured bacterium
Lineage: Bacteria
Description: partial 16S ribosomal RNA
Rfam family: Bacterial small subunit ribosomal RNA
Source: RNAcentral